This is a long non-coding RNA of Daphnia pulex (common water flea), 930 nucleotides long. RefSeq lists it as uncharacterized. The transcript has 3 exons. Lineage: Eukaryota; Metazoa; Arthropoda; Branchiopoda; Diplostraca; Daphniidae. The record is from RefSeq and is a predicted model, not a curated record.
UCUAAUAUGGCAAUGCCGUAAUCGGCCAUUUUAGAUUUCAUUAUUUUUUCCCUGUGUAAAUUCCCAUAAGGAAUCGGGGUACCUUUACUUUUAAUUCAUUUUUUAAUUAUAAGUGUGUUACAGCCAAUUUAUUUUUCAUCGAUCGCGUUCCCCGAUGAAUUUGUAACAUUUUCAUGUAUGGUAAGUAUUACUUGUGGCUUAUAUUAAUUAUGUAAUUUGAACUUUCAUUAGGUUGUUUUGAUUCUGGAAUGUCAAAACAGACAUGUUGUGUGUUGCCGUUUGGCUGCGGUAACAGAUACAAUGUUUAUGAAUCUGUUAUGUAAGUUUUGCAUCCCAAAAGUGAAUGUUAUUGGACAUCCAGAAUAUGUGGUUUUAUAAAGUAGGGACAUCCAGAAUAUGUGGUUUUAUAAAGUAGGAGCCAUGUAUGGCUGAAAAGAACAAAUAUGAGAAAAAAAGAUUGGCAAAAUAAAGCAGAGUUUGCAACAUUUUGCUUCCGUUCAGCCAAGUUAUGUAUUUAACUAAAGAUGUUGACUGGGCACCAACACGUAAUCAAGAGAAUAAUUCCAUUGGGAUGGCUACUGUUAAAAGAAUUAGUCACUCUGUAAGAAGGCAGAUUGCUAGUAUAUGUUCAAAGAUGUAAGAGGAUGACAGUAUCAAAAGAUGCAGUAACUGAUGUUAUGAAAGAUACCGCUGGAUAUACCCAAUGCAGAACACCUUUGAUAGACACAUCAACAAAUUGGUGAAUCAACAAACGAGCAGCAUCCAUCUACCUUCAACUGCUCUUGCAUUAGAAAACUAGGCAUUGGUUCUUCGAAUAAAAGUAUUGAAAAAUGAAAAGACAAUUACUAGUUGAAACAGUGUCACAUGUUCAGUAUCUGUAUUAAAAACUUCUUUUCACCUCGUUUAAUACAAAUGUUUCUCUAGAAAGUA